CUCCUUUUCCCCUUCCCAGUUGCUCCCUUCCCCGUCCCUUCCUCCCUUCCCUGUCAUUCCCAUCCCCCUACUCCCUUUCCCCCAUUCCCUUUAGCAGAUAUUUCGUCUUCCUUUCCUGUCAAUUGUCAUCUUAUUCCUUGUUCCUUUUAUCCAUAUAUACUAGAUAGCAACAAAGGGAAAAAAAUAAAAAGAUUAGCAAAAAAUAAACCAUCUGCAUCAUCGGCAACGAGUGAAGACGCCGGGGAUCUAAUCGGCUACAAGUGAAGUACGAGCAGAUUUACAAAUAUACUUUCAUUUUCACUCUUCUCCCUCUUGUUAUUUUUCAUCUCUAUUUUCUUUUCUUUUUUUCUUUUGCAAGCAGAUGUUGGUGUGAUAUGAAGGAUGGUUGUUGGUGUUGGUCAGGAGCAAUUGCAACAUGCGUUUGGACUUGUUGGUGACGAUAAUCUUGUUGAUUUAGGUGUUAGGGUUUUACUGCAAUUUGGGGCCCUUUUAAAUUUGAUUUAUUUGAGUGGUUGAUUUUGCUCUAUUUCAUUUCUCUGCUUUGUUAAAAUUAUUGUUAUUGUGUUCUGGUUUAUCUUAUUGUGGGUGAUGGUAGUGAUGAAAUUUUCUGGUGGGUGAUGAUGGCGUGAUUUUGAGGGUGGCCGGUGGUGGAUGGAUCUGAAUUUUGUUGGUGGAUUAUGAUGAUGUAUGUUGACUGAUCUGAAUUAAUUAGAUAAAAAAAACUUAUUUCACUAAAUGUUGAUAUUAUAAUUACUUUAAAAAACAAG
Molecule: long non-coding RNA, 767 nt
Filed under: Panax ginseng (ginseng)
Lineage: Eukaryota; Viridiplantae; Streptophyta; Magnoliopsida; Apiales; Araliaceae
Description: long non-coding RNA (PGIN_LNC018249)
Source: RNAcentral